RNAcentral lists this ribosomal RNA (517 nucleotides) under uncultured Geobacillus sp. RNAcentral's name for it is "bacterial SSU rRNA". It matches the Rfam family "Bacterial small subunit ribosomal RNA", at positions 10 to 505 of the family's 1533-position model. Lineage: Bacteria; Bacillati; Bacillota; Bacilli; Caryophanales; Anoxybacillaceae. The record is from RNAcentral.
AGUUUGAUUCCUGGCUCAGGACGAACGCUGGCGGCGUGCCUAAUACAUGCAAGUCGAGCGGACCGNAUGAGGGCUUGCNNUGAUUCGGUCAGCGGCGGACGGGUGAGUAACACGUGGGCAACCUGCCCGCAAGACCGGGAUAACUCCGGGAAACCGGAGCUAAUACCGGAUAACACCGAAGACCGCAUGGUCUUCGGUUGAAAGGCGGCCUUUGGGCUGUCACUUGCGGAUGGGCCCGCGGCGCAUUAGCUAGUUGGUGAGGUAACGGCUCACCAAGGCGACGAUGCGUAGCCGGCCUGAGAGGGUGACCGGCCACACUGGGACUGAGACACGGCCCAGACUCCUACGGGAGGCAGCAGUAGGGAAUCUUCCGCAAUGGGCGAAAGCCUGACGGAGCGACGCCGCGUGAGCGAAGAAGGCCUUCGGGUCGUAAAGCUCUGUUGUGAGGGACGAAGGAGCGCCGUUUAAGAAGGCGGCGCGGUGACGGUACCUCACGAGAAAGCCCCGGCUAACUACG